This 199-nucleotide long non-coding RNA is filed under the name Manihot esculenta (cassava). RNAcentral describes it as "long non-coding RNA (MESC_LNC006592)". Lineage: Eukaryota; Viridiplantae; Streptophyta; Magnoliopsida; Malpighiales; Euphorbiaceae. The record is from RNAcentral.
AACGUAGAAUGGGUCCUGGUAUUUCCCUUACAUAUCAUAACAUAACAGUGUCCAACUGUGCCAGAACGUAGAAUGGGUCCUGGUCUUUCUCUUACAUAGUGCCAGCGAACGUAGAAUGGGUCCCACUGGUCUUACUUUCUGUACCGUACAUAUCACAUCGUCAUAUCAUAAAUCGAGGGCUAUGGAUCAUCCAACAUUC